GCCAUUACAGAUUAAGUCAAAACAAGAUAGUAUUCCAUUUAGUGUUCAAAUAUUGUUAUGAACAUGAUUUGUUGUCUUCGUGACCUUCAAAGUAUAUAUAAGAAAAAUUAAUACAAUACAAUAUCAAUACAAUCUCAAACAAUUAUCUGUUCCAGAAACAAAGGCAGAAAUAAGAGAAGUGGCAACUCGUCGCCAAAGGAAGGAAGCAAAGGAGACACAUAAAUAGCCGGAAGCUUUCUCCAGCAGCCACACUUGACUCCUCGUGUUUCCGAAAGCAGAAGAGUUGAACAGCCUUCACCAUGAAACUGACUGGCUUUAAGAUCCCUUUGCAGUUGCUUGCAGUUGCUCUGGUGUGCAACAUGACCUCGGCGAUUGCUAAUCCUAUUGCUCUUCCUCUUCCUUUCCCUAUCGCUGAUCCUAUUGCUCUUCCUCUUCCUUUCCCUAUCGCUGAUCCUAUUGCUCUUCCUCUUCCUCUCCCUAUCGCUGAUCCUAUUGCUCUUCCUGAACCUCUUCCUAUCGCUGAUCCUAUUGCUCUUCCUCAAGAUUCCCCGAACACUGAAGGUGCGUGAGAGCGGCCCUUCGACGCCCCGAACAGCUGAUCUUGACCCCAGACCAUUUCUCCUGAAACUGAAUAAAUGCUUCGUCGCCCCGAACAGCUGAUCUUGACCCAAGACCAUUUCUCAUGAAACUGAAUAAAUGCUUGUAGUUGCUGCGA
Long non-coding RNA from Penaeus chinensis, 715 nucleotides. RefSeq lists it as uncharacterized. The record is from RefSeq and is a predicted model, not a curated record. NCBI's taxonomy places the organism in Eukaryota, Metazoa, Arthropoda, Malacostraca, Decapoda, Penaeidae. The transcript is spliced from 2 exons.